This 22-nucleotide unclassified non-coding RNA is filed under the name Mus musculus (house mouse). RNAcentral's name for it is "oocyte_clustered_small_RNA3010". The record is from RNAcentral. Lineage: Eukaryota; Metazoa; Chordata; Mammalia; Rodentia; Muridae.
UAAUGUCUGCUGGUUGAUGGUU